ACAGGGAUUGCCCUAGUAACGGCGAGUGAAGCGGCAUCAGCUCAAAUUUGAAAUCUGGCUCUUUCAGGGUCCGAGUUGUAAUUUGCAGAGGGCGCUUUGGCGUUGGCAGCGGUCCAAGUUCCUUGGAACAGGACGUCACAGAGGGUGAGAAUCCCGUACGUGGUCGCUGGCCUUCGCCGUGUAAAGCCCCUUCGACGAGUCGAGUUGUUUGGGAAUGCAGCUCUAAAUGGGAGGUAAAUUUCUUCUAAAGCUAAAUACUGGCCAGAGACCGAUAGCGCACAAGUAGAGUGAUCGAAAGAUGAAAAGCACUUUGGAAAGAGAGUCAAAUAGCACGUGAAAUUGUUGAAAGGGAAGCGCUUGCAGCCAGACUUGCCUGUAGUUGCUCAUCCGGGCUCUUGCCCGGUGCACUCUUCUGCGGGCAGGCCAGCAUCAGUCUGGGCGGUUGGAUAAAGGCCUCUGUCAUGUACCUCCUUUCGGGGAGGCCUUAUAGGGGAGGCGCCAUGCAACCAGCCUGGACUGAGGUCCGCGCAUCUGCUAGGAUGCUGGCGUAAUGGCUGUAAGCGGCCCGUCUUGAAACACGGACCAAGGAGUCUAACAUCUAUGCGAGUGUUUGGGUGUCAAGCCCGAACGCGUAAUGAAAGUGAACGGAGGUGGGAUCCCGUAAGGGUGCACCAUCGACCGAUCCUGAUGUCUUCGGAUGGAUUUGAGUAAGAGCAUGGCUGUUGGGACCCGAAAGAUGGUGAACUAUGCUUGAAUAGGGUGAAGCCAGAGGAAACUCUGGUGGAGGCUCGCAGCGGUUCUGACGUGCAAAUCGAUCGUCAAAUUUGGGCAUAGGGGCGAAAGACUAAUCGAACUAUCUAGUAGCUGGUUCCUGCCGAAGUUUCCCUCAGGAUAGCAGUAACGUAUUCAGUUUUAUGAGGUAAAGCGAAUGAUUAGAGGCCUGGGGGUUGAAACAACCUUCACCUAUUCUCAAACUUUAAAUAUGUAAGAAGUCCUUGUUACUUAAUUGAACGUGGACACUUGAAUGUACCGUUACUAGUGGGCCAUUUUUGGUAAGCAGAACUGGCGAUGCGGGAUGAACCGAACGCGGGGUUAAGGUGCCAGAAUAUACGCUCAUCAGACACCACAAAAGGUGUUAGUUCAUCUAGACAGCAGGACGGUGGCCAUGGAAGUCGGAAUCCGCUAAGGAGUGUGUAACAACUCACCUGCCGAAUGAACUAGCCCUGAAAAUGGAUGGCGCUCAAGCGUAUUACCCAUACCCCGCCGCCGGGGCAAGAUUUAAGCCCCGGCGAGUAGGCAGGCGUGGAGGCUCGUGACGAAGCCUUGG
This 1327-nucleotide ribosomal RNA is filed under the name Paracucurbitaria corni. RNAcentral describes it as "eukaryotic LSU rRNA". It matches the Rfam family "Eukaryotic large subunit ribosomal RNA", at positions 68 to 1414 of the family's 3401-position model. Lineage: Eukaryota; Fungi; Ascomycota; Dothideomycetes; Pleosporales; Cucurbitariaceae. The record is from RNAcentral.